GUCCCUGUAGCGCAAUGAAUAGCUUGUUGGACUUUUAAUCCAAAGGUCGUAGGUUAGAAUCCUCACCUGGGAUG
Trichonephila clavata is the source of this 74-nucleotide non-coding RNA. NCBI's taxonomy places the organism in Eukaryota, Metazoa, Arthropoda, Arachnida, Araneae, Nephilidae. The record is from the annotation of a GenBank genome assembly.